AGUUCUGUAUCAUAAGACUGUUCCCUUCUUUUUCCCUGAAAAAUUGGAAAAAAAUUAUUUUUCCAAUGUCACAUCUUUAAAUCUUACAUAUAUUUUGAAUCUAGAAUAGUAUAGUUUCUUAAUGAGAAGUAAAGUUGACUUUACCCAUGACUCCAGGGAGAUUGAUGGAGCCCAAGAAACAAAGAAGCAAGUUAUGAAAAUAAAAAGGAAUUGUAUGUUGACAAUUCGUUUGGAGGAACUUUUGCCCAGUGUAUGCCAAAAUCAGAUGCAGAUAGUAUGUCACCAAAAGGAAAUACCCCCAGUAUGGUAGCUUGGAUUUGACAAGAGAGUGCAUAGAUGGUAACGGUCGAUGUAGAACCUUUUGCCCUGAAUAUGAAGUUAGAAUUGCUUACUGCAUCAGGCCUGGAACUCAUUGCUGCCUUCAGACGUAAGGACGAGAGAAGAAAAGACACACACACUCCAAGAGAAGAUAAGUGUUACUGUCUUUUCAGCAUAUCUGUCAAGGCCUGUGUGUCUCCACAAACCACAGAAAUCCAUAUAAAAUUUGAUUCUGAUUCAUUGAGAAAGGA
RNA transcript from Ochotona princeps (American pika), 569 nucleotides. It is a transcript of the gene named beta-defensin 110, with no coding region annotated. The transcript is spliced from 2 exons. Lineage: Eukaryota; Metazoa; Chordata; Mammalia; Lagomorpha; Ochotonidae. The record is from RefSeq and is a predicted model, not a curated record.